Molecule: long non-coding RNA, 713 nt
Organism: Mastomys coucha (southern multimammate mouse)
Lineage: Eukaryota; Metazoa; Chordata; Mammalia; Rodentia; Muridae
Exons: 3
Source: RefSeq, a predicted model, not a curated record
GGAUAACACUUCUUUGACUUUUCUCCCAGACAAAAAAUCUUCUGUCCUUCUGCCAUCAAACCUUUGUACCUGCAUCUCUGUCCAUCAUCCUCACAAAGCAGGCAUCCUUACAUCACUAAGGACCACACCUUUGCACUGCUAUGAUCUCAUCUAUUCUCACCACACCAGUGGCUUCCUUUUUAGAGCACGAGACAACAUCCAGAUUGAAAAGAGCAUCUGUUCCACAUCUCACAUCUCCGGUACCAGCCCGUUUUAUUCUUUCAAGGCAAAGGUCACAAAUACAGAAACAAUUCCUAACCCUCUCUGUCGGUCUGUUCUGCAGCUUCCUCUCCUCCAGGCACUCUACCAAAACUUUUCCAUUUGCCAUUGACCUCCAUGCUACUAACCUAGUGGACACAGUUCUGCCGAGUCCUUCGAUAGCAUCCAGAGCCUACGACACCGGUGCUGUUGUUAAUGAGUGCUGACGACCAUGAUAAUGAGGAUGAAGGCAUGGCAGGUGUUCAAGUGAAGCACAUGGAUUCUGUGUAUUCAGGCUCACAUCCUUGCCUUACACCUGCAGCCGCUUCCCUGGCCCCACAACUCACCACUUUCUAUUUCCUCCUCAUUGUCAUCUUCCAAGAUGCUAGCAGGGGCAGCUGACUCUCCAGCUUCCAUCAUGCUUUUCAAAGCUUCAAGCUGUUCUGUAAGUAACGUCAAACACGGAGAUGAGAACA